This 497-nucleotide ribosomal RNA is filed under the name uncultured bacterium. RNAcentral describes it as "partial 16S ribosomal RNA". It matches the Rfam family "Bacterial small subunit ribosomal RNA", at positions 28 to 507 of the family's 1533-position model. The record is from RNAcentral.
GAUGAACGCUGGCGGCGUGCCUAAUACAUGCAAGUCGAGCGAACAGACGAGGAGCUUGCUCCUCUGACGUUAGCGGCGGACGGGUGAGUAACACGUGGAUAACCUACCUAUAAGACUGGGAUAACUUCGGGAAACCGGAGCUAAUACCGGAUAAUAUAUUGAACCUCAUGGUUCAAUAGUGAAAGACGGUUUUGCUUUCACUUAUAGAUGGAUCCGCGCCGCAUUAGCUAUUUGGUAAGGUAACGGCUUACCAAGGCAACGAUGCGUACCCGACUUGAGAGGGGGAUCGGCAACACUGGACCUGGGACCCGGUCCAGACUCCUCCGGGAGGAAGCAGUAGGGAAUCUUCCGCAAUGGGCGAAAGCCUGACGGAGCAACGCCGCGUGAGUGAUGAAGGUCUUCGGAUCGUAAAACUCUGUUAUUAGGGAAGAACAAAUGUGUACGUAACUAUGCACGUAUUGACGGUACCUAAUCAGAAAGCCACGGCUAACUACGCG